GAGUGCCGCUGGAGCGCCGCCUUUGGCGGCCCCGUGAAAGUCGGCCCCCCGGCUUAA
Molecule: small nucleolar RNA, 57 nt
Filed under: Pyrobaculum neutrophilum V24Sta
Lineage: Archaea; Thermoproteati; Thermoproteota; Thermoprotei; Thermoproteales; Thermoproteaceae
Description: Thermoproteus neutrophilus V24Sta Pyrobaculum sRNA 204
Rfam family: Pyrobaculum sRNA 204
About the family: Non canonical pseudouridylation guide sRNA features. Predicted to target 23S U2023 in Pyrobaculum.
Source: Rfam by way of RNAcentral